AGAAGUCAUCAUUUGGUCUCUAUUUCUUUUCUUUUUAAAACAGGAAACAGAGAACACUGCAUACAAAGUUGGAAAUGAGUCCCCUGUACAAGAAUUGAAACAAGAUGUGUCUAAAAAGGUUGGAAAGAUAUGUCAAUAUUAUUAUAUAGCAGACAUUAUAUUUACAUGGUAUAUUUAAAACAGAAAAUUUCCUACUUUUUUAGUGUAGUACACUAUUCAGAAAUUAUAUCUUGGAUCCAUUGAAUUUGUAAUUGAAGGCACACAGGACUUUUUGUAGGUCAUUUUUACAUUCUAACUAAUUGAUAAUUAUCCUUAAAACAGUAUUUUAUAGAACAUUUUUAUUUUUUCUUCUUAUACUUUAUUAGAAUAAUCUGUAGCUCCUCUUGAAAUUGCCACUGGGCAUUACAGAUAUUGAAAAACUCAGUGCAUCAAAUUCUGAUGUCUUUAGGAAUCAGUUCUUAUUCUGAUAAUAUCUUUGAUACUGUUUAAAGAAUCAGUGCUGUGAGGCUCCAGAAGCUGGUUUCUUAGAAGAGACAGAGCACAAGAUAAAUAUUUUUAGAAUGGACAGUUUUAAAUAUCAGGAUAAAACUCACAGAAAGACUGGAUGUGUGUGUUUACUCAUUUCUACAAGUUCUGAGUUUUUUCCCGUCUCCUAGGCACUGUUAUAGCAAGUGAGUUUUUGAAAGCCAACAAAAUGACACAUUUACUGUUUCUUUAGUUGUAGCUGUAUUAACUUUGGGGGCUGGAUAAUUCAUUGUGUUAGAGGGAAGGGGAAACUGUUGUAUAUAUUGUAGGAUUAUUCUACCUACUGGGAUGCCAGUAGCAUCCACACCCCUACCACCUAGUCAUGACAACCCAAAAUGUCUCCAAGAAUCACCAAAUAUGUGGGGAAAUGCAUAUGGUAAAAUCACCCCUAGUGUGGAUUGUUUUCCCCUUACAGAAUUUACAGAUUUAGUGGACACAUAGUUUAAUGUUGGUCAUACUUUUUCCUUUAAAAGAAAAAAUAAUCCCUUUUGGAAGAAGAUAAUCCAGCCACCUUACAAGUCCUGUGUUAAAAUAAUUAACAAUUAAACGAUGGUGUGCAUACAGGGCUUCUUUCUUUUGGAAGAAGUAGUAGUAUUGUGUACCAGCAUACAAAAUAGGGAUGUAGGGGCUGGGUUGUAGCUCAGUGGUAGCAUGCUUGCCUAGCAUGUGUGAAGUACCGUGUUCAAUUCUCAGCACAGUAUAUAAAUAAAUAAAAUAAAUGUCCAACAACUAAUAUUAAAAAAAAAACAGGGAUGUAACGAUUUUUUAAAGAAUUUUUCAUAGUUCUACACUGUAACAUAUCAGUUGUCAGGAUUCCCUUCUGGUUCUCAUGACUUGCAUAUUUUUAUAUACUUGAUUGUAGUGUAGAUAGAAUUUUAUAUUCUGUUUUACUCUUAUCAUUUUUUUAUUUUUCUCAUAUUUCUACCCCAUUUCAAUACUGAGUCUUUGCUUGAUGUAUCAGUUUCCAUCAAACAAAUUUAUUACAAUGUAUCCAGCCACUUUUGAAAUGAUUGUUGAAAUUGAAAUGUUUAUAUUUUUUGCUAUAGCUUUUCUUUUUUCCCUUUUUGAGAGUAUUUUCUUAGUUACCCAUUUGUAAUUUAUCCUAUCUAUAGUUAGUAGCCAAGAAAAAGGUGACUUUAUUGAGAAUUUAGGAGCUGAAAAAGUAGUGAGGGACUGGGGAUAUAGCUCAGUUGGUAGAGUGCUUGCCUCAUAUGCCCAAGGCCCAGGGUUCAAUCCCCAGCACCACCAAAAAAAAAAAAAAAAAAGUAUUGAGAAAACACCAUGAGACAGUAGAAUGAAGCUUAAGACUUGAGGUGUCACUUUUUAAGUUCUACACUUUUUAAUGAUAUGUAGAACAUUUAUGAUAAAGAUUAUGGGCUAUACCGUGGACCAAGACCCUGAGAAUAGCUUCCAGUUUUGUAGGGGAUAUUUGAUAAACAUAAAGCUAAAUGUAAUAAGCAUUCAAAUAAAUUUGCAAGCUAGUAUAAGAACUCAAAGAAGACUUUACUUCCUACUUGCUGAUAGGAAUGGAGAAGACUUCAUGGAGAAAGUAGUAUCUAAACUGGUUCUUAAUGAAUGGAUAAGAUUUAGGAAGGCAGAGAUGAGAGAGGAAAGACAUUACCAAAGGCAUGGAGAUGGGGAAUGUGAAGAAUGUUUGACUAUUAGUCUAGUUAGGGCCAGAUUAUGGUAAUGCCUUUUAUCAUACUAAGUAUCUGGGGUUUAUUUUAUAACCACUAGGAAAUCAGUGAGCUUUUUAUAGCAAAACACUGCUUUAUGUUGCUCUUGUUGCUUUGUGUUGGUCAUGGUUUUUCACUGUUCUCUCCUUUCCCUUUUCAUUACCUCCUACAAUCUAGGGUGAGGCAAUAUAUAUAUAUAUAUAUAUAGAGAGAGAGAGAGAGAGAGAGAGAGAGAGAGCCUGAAAACAUGGGCCUUACUCUCCAGUAACAAAUUAUGUAGUAUGGAGAAAAUGAAUAUGCAGAAUGCCCAUAUGCUCCCUGUAUUUGUAUUAUUGUUCAUACUGUAAUGACCAGCAAGAACAAUUAAAGUUUAGAAGAGAGGGAGAGAGAGAUUGUUCUCAGGGGGUUAGGGAAAACAUGAUUUUCAAGCUCCUUUUGACCCCUCUCUUAUGUCAAGUGCCUUUACGUUAUGUACAAUGAUUAUUUAUAAACCCAUAUACUCAUCUUGUACUCACUAUGCCCACUUGCAUGCCCCUCAGCAAAUAAUCUUGUUUCAUGUUACAUGUAGACAUGAGAGGCUAAGAAGCCUGAAUCCAUUUCUUCUAUCAUCUCUCUCUUCCCUCCCCAGCAAACUUGUUUUAAUCUCUUACCUCUUCUUUUUUUUUUUUUUCUCUUUGUUUGCGGGGCAGUGGGGGCAGUGCUGGGGAUUGAACCCAGGGCUUUGUGCAUGCGAGGCUAACACUCUACCAACUGAGCUAUAUCCCCAGCCAUCUUACCUCUUCUUAAUGUCGUUCAUCACUGAUCAUUUAGGUAUUUUUUAUUUGUUUUGUUUUCUAACACAGGGGAUUGAACCCAGGGCACUUAACCACUGAACCACAUCCCCAGCCCUUUUUAUUUUUUUAUUUCAAGACAGGGUCUUGCUGAGCCUGAUUUUGAACUUGUGAUCCUCCUUCCUCAGACUCCUAAGCCGCUGGGAUUACAGGCAUGCACCACCGCUCUAAGCCCAUUUAGUAUUUUUUUUUCCCCAUCCAGAGUAGUGUGGUAUAUUUUAAAGAACACUUGCUUUUUAAGAAAGACCUGGAUUUCAAUUUUUGUCUUUGUAGCUAGCUAGCUAUGGGACAUUGUACAAAAUUCUUCAUGCCUUUACCUCAGAUGCCUUCCUUUGUAGAGGGAAGAUAAUCCAGCCACCUUACAAGACCUGUGUUAAAAUAAUUAACAAUUAAAUGAUGGUGUGCAUACCGGGUAUAGUACACAGUAGGGCUUCUUUCUUCUCCAGAACUUUGUUCAGUUAUCUUAAUUUCAAGGCUCCUUCCCUUCAGUUUAUAAAAGUGCUAGGUCACUUUCUGGCAGUCUGUUCCAAUUAUAGCCAAGCCUUUUUCUUUUCCUUCCCUCCCUCCCUCCCUUCCUCCUCCUCCUCCUCCUCCUCCUCCUCCUCCUCCUUCUCCUUCUCCUUCUCCUCCUUUUUUUUUUUGUGUGUGUGCACGCACAUGCACACAUGUAGUGCUGGGGAUCAAAACCCAGGGCCUCAUGCAUCAAGCGUUUUGAGAAAAGAAACCAUACCAGCUGUCUAUGUCUUUACUUCUUGUUCAACCUGAGACCUGUUGUAGUCUGAGUUUUGUUAUCACUAAGGUCCUUACCGCCUAAUUGACAAAUGAGGUAGACCCUAGUUAAUAUUCCUCUGGCAAAAGUAGUGAGGGAAUUUCUAGAAUUAAAAAAUUGAAGAUUGAGGGAAAAAACUGAUAUAAGGAAUGUGUUGAUAUUAAAGAUGAAUAUUAUCAAGUAGUAGUAAUAUCCAAUUCAUUUAGCAUGACUGGUUAUGUUCAACCAGAUGAGGAUGGUUCUGUGACAUACUCCAUUUACUUGCUGGAUUCAAAGAAUUGAGAAAUCAAAAGUUAUUCAUGAUUGGGUGUGGUAGAAAAAUAGUGGGUUGGGAGAUUUAAUGUGUUAGUAAUCAUAAGACUGGGUAGAAAAUAUAUUUCUACUAAAUGUUGGUAGAAGACAAACUUUCUAUAUUUUUCAGCUACAGAUAAGAAUGUGGCAGGGUGAGGCAAGAUGGGAUGGGUGUUUGAAUUCUUUUCAUAGACCUGCCAUCAGUUUGAAUAGUGGAAUAUUGGGUAUAGUUUGUUUAAGAACUUUAAUCUCCUUGCAUCUGCUGGCUUUUCUAACAUAGGCUCAAGUUUAGACCUAAAUAAGUUGAAUUCUUGUCCUGGGUGGGUUUUUAUUUUCAUGGUUUUGUUAAAAAAAAAAAACUCAAACCCAGCAGGCAGUUAUUGCAACUAAUUUGACACAACUCUAUAAAUAAACUAUGACCUUAUGAGUCUUAAUAUAAGUUUAGGCUUGAUUUUAUUUUACAGGUUUGAUUGAACUUUUGUUACUAUAUGCUAACACAGAUUCUCUGUUAUAACGUUAAAGAGUGUAGAUUCUAGAACCCAAAUACCUGGGUUUACACCAGCUUCAUCACUUAUUAGCUCUGACCUUGGGCAAAUCACUUGAUCCCCAUAUGCCUUAGUUCCCUCAUUUGUACAUUGAUCACAAUAGGAACAUAAUCUCAUAAGGUUGUUGUAAAGAUUGAAAUUUAUAAAGUGAUAAGAACAUUGCCUGAUACGAACUAAGUACUAUAUAAAUUAUUAGCUAUUAAUAUGUUUUUAUAAAUAGCUUCAUAUUUAAAAAAAUGCUUUUUAACCUUUCAUUAGAUAAUUGAAAGUAUUAUUGAGGAAAGUCAGAAAGUACAUCUUGAAGAUGACUCUUUGGAUUCCAAUGGAAAAGGACUCUCUGAUCAGGCUACUGCCAGUCCUGUUGUAUCUGGAACAGAUCUUAGUAAUGUACCUGGACUGUUAGGCAUAGAUCAAGUACUACAGGAAGAUUCCACAAAGGCAGAGAGUCAGAGUGCAUUUGAGGAAACUGAAUUAGAAUCAAAACAAUGUUUUCCAUCUGAUGAUACCUGUGAGAAGUCAGUAGACGAAACCAUAAAAUUAAAUGAAAUAAGUUCAACUGAGCAACAGAAUGUGCCUGAAAUGGAAAUAGAAGUAUUGAACAAGGAAGCAAUGGAAGUAAAACAAAGUGAUGUUGUAGAUCCUGCAUCCUCAAACUCUUCAUCUACUAAAGAUUUUGCUGCUGUGGAAGAAGUGGCUCCCGCCAAACCCCCAAGGCACCUUACUCCAGAACCUGAUAUAGUAGCUAGUACAAAGAAGCCUGUUCCAGCACGCCCACCCCCUCCAACUAAUUUCCCACCUCCUAGACCCCCACCUCCAUCUCGACCUGCUCCACCACCAAGAAAAAAGAAAAGUGAAUUGGAAUUUGAGGCUCUAAAAACACCGGAUCUAGAUGGCAAGUAUUAAUUGAAAAGUAACUGUUUUAAUGGGGAGAAUUGGGAGUUGAAACUGUUUUGUUUAACUUUCUGCUUUUGCUUCAGUUCAUGAUUUUUAAAACCAGUAAAACCACACUAAUGACCACAUUAUAAAAAUUAUUUAUUUAUUACUAGAUAAAAAAUUUUCAUUGGUGAUGUUACUAUUAUUGAACAUUUCAUCUAACCUCAAACUUUCACAUCUAUUACCAGCUGAGAAAUAAUGUGUCAUGGUGAAGUGAACAUGGGAUAUAGAAACUUAAGGUCUAAAUUUGAAUACUUCACUCCUUACUGUAUGAACUGAAUAAUCUUGAGGAAGUUAAAUAACUUGGUUGAACCAUGGUUUCUUCAUAUAAAAAAUGAGAGUAAUAAAACAACUUUCCUCAUAAGCUUGUUUUAGGAACCAAAUAAGUGCCGGGCGCAGUGGCACAUGCCUGUAAUCCCAGUGGCUUGGGAGGUUGAGGCAGGAGGAUCGAAAGUUCAAAGCCAGCCUCAGCAACUUAGUGAGGCCCUAAGCAACUUAGUGAGACUGCGUCUCAAAAUAAAAAUUAAAAAGGUCUGGGGAUGUGGCUCAGUGGUUAAGCACCCCAGGGUUCAUUUCUCAGUACUAAAAAAAAAAAAAAAAAGAAUCAAAUAAAAGUUAAAGCACUUUUAAGAUAUGUUUAAGGGCCUAUAUAAAUGUUAGUUGUUAUUAUUUUUAUCGUUGCAGUACCCAAAGAGAAUAUUACGUCUGAUUCUCUCCUAACUACAACAAUGACUUCAGAAAGUACAGUCAGGGAUUCUCAGCCUUCUCUUGAUUUGGCAAGUGCUACCAGUGGAGAUAAAAUAGUUACUGCCCAGGUUGGUGAAUUAGUGUUAUAUUUGAUAUAGGCAUUAUCAGACUUUCUGCAAUUGGAUAAUUUGUUAAUUGUUAAACCCUCUUUCUCCUCCAAGCCAAAUAAUUUCUUGUCCCCCAAACCUAGCCCCCUUAUUUCCCUUAUGUAGCUCUGUUACUAACUAGCUGGGUGAGCCUAGUAAGUUAUUUGGCAUCUGAGUCUCAGAUGCCCCAUUGAUAAAAUAGAAAAAAAAAGUAAAUGAAGUAUGGCAGGUAGUAGGUAUUCAAAACAUGACAGAUGCUUAUUAUUGAUUAAAACUAUACUCUUCAUUUACCUAAAUAAUAUUGAUCAAAAUCAGUGGACUUUUAUAAUUUCCUAAUCAUAAAAAUCUUUUGUACUGGGCAAUGGGCUAUACAAAAGACUAAAUAACAUGAAUUUUGCCACAGCCAAAUUCUGAGACUCAAGGUUACCUGUGUUUUAGUGGAGGCGGGGCAGGGUAGCAGACUGAGAGGUCUAACACUGUAGUCUUGUUAAAACCUUAAAGCAGAGGUCAGCAGCAGAUUGUUUUGUAGGCUAAACAUGAUCAUUACAGUUUUUUUUUUCUUUUAAGCCAAAAAUGGUCUUUACAUUUUUAAAGAGUUGUUAGAGAAACUGUAUGUGAACGAAAAGUCUUAAAAUAUUUACUAUCUUAUCUUGACAGAAAAAAGUUUUCUAACUCCUGCCUUGAAGUUAUCCACAUAUAGCCUGAUUAGUAGCAAUUUUAGUAGAGAGCUGCUUUUGGGUCAGAUUCAAAUAGAACAUUUACUCAUUUUAAGACAAGUAAAUUAACAAAUAAAUAUAUUUUUAUAUCAUGGGCAGCAAUAGUUUUGGUAUCUAAUGUUUUUCAUCAUUCAGGGAACAAUAAAGGACUGAAAUGGAGUAUACCAUUUAAAGUUUCAGUAGACUCCAAUGACUGGAUUAUAGAAUUCUUUAGAACUAUGUAUAAUAAUGAAUAAUUGAAUUUAUAGAUACUGACUCAGUCUACUUUCUGUUUAUAAAAUUAUAAUUUCAGGAAAAUGGAAAAGCACCUGAUGGGCAGACAAUAGCAGGUGAAGUGAUGGGCCCUCAGAGACCUAGAUCCAACUCUGGGAGAGAGCUUACUGAUGAGGUAGAAUUCGGUUGUCUUUUUUUCCCCAUUAAGAAUAUAAAAUAUAAAAAUCAUAACAAGAAAAUAAGAACAUUCUGUAAAUGGAUGAUCCUGAUAGUUGCCCACCAGUAUGAAUGUACUUCAUGUUAUUAUAGGUCACCACAGUUAGACUUUUUUUAUUGACAUUUAACAUUUGUACAUAUUUAUGAGAUACAGUAUGAUUUAAUACAUGUUUAUAAUGUGUACAUGUACCAGAGUGGUUAGCAUUUUCAUCCUUUCAGACAUUUAUCAUUUCUGCAUUGAAAACCUUUGGACUCUUCUAGUUAUUUUAAAAUAUAGAAUAAAUGACUGGGGCUGGGGUUGUGGCUCAACGUUAGAGUGUUCACCUAGCAUAUGCGAGGCACUGGGUUCAAUCCACAGUACAAGUAAAAAAUAAAUAAAUAAAAUGAAGGGAUAUGUCCAACUACAACUAAAAUACAUUUUAAAAAAAGAAUAAAUGACUGUUAGUCCAUAAAGUUAUAUUGAAAAACAAUGAAAAUUGAAGAUUAUCUUAAUUUUUUUUGGUGUGCUGUAUCUUGCAUUCCCUGACUGAAACUUGAUCUUUUAAGCAGUUAAAUAGUAGAAUAAACAUGUUCAAAGUAGGAUCUAUAUUUUAUAAAAAGCAAGUUUAUAGAUACAUGUUUUUAUACAAACAUAAAGUGGUUUUUAUCAUUUGAAUGGUUUUUACCAUUAAAACUUUGUAUACAUCUAUUGCCCAAUUUAUUCAACAGUCUUGAAGCAAAAUAUUUUUUAGAACAACACAUUUUUUUUAAAUUAUGAUACUUUGGAAAAUAGUUUAGCAGUUCCUUAAAAUGUUAAACAUGAUGUUGCCAUGACCCAGUAAUUCCAUUCCUAUGCAUAUACCUAAGCAAAAGUAAAAUAUGUCCACACAAAAAUAUACACAGAUGUACAUAGCAGCAUUGUUCAUAAUUGAAAAAAAAAAAUAGAAAGAACCCAAAUGUACAUCACUAAUGAGUGGAUAAUGAAAUACAUUAUAUCCAUACAAUGGUGUGUUUUUUAAUAAUUAAAAGGAAUGAAAUGCUGAUACAUGCUACAUUGGUGGACCUUGUAAACAGCCUGCUAAAUAAAAGAAUCCAGCCACAAAAGGCUACAUAUCAUAUAAUUGGAUUUAUAUGAAAUGUCUGGAAUGGGUAAAUCCACGAGACAAAAUCUAGAUCAGUAAUUUCCAAGGGCAGGAAAGAAAGGGAAAUGAGGUAUGACUGCUAAUGACUUCUUUUGGGGUGAUGAAAAUAUUCUAGCUUAGUGGCAAUGGUAGCACAACUCUGUGAACAUUGUUUUUUUUUUCUUUUUUGUGCUGGGGAUUGAACACAGGAGCACUCUUAUCACUGAACUGCAUCCUUAGCCUUUUCAUUUUUUAUUUUGAGACAAGGUCUCACCAAGUUGCCUUGGGCAGCCUCAAACUUUUUAGUCCUCCUGCCUUAGCCUCCUGUGUAGCUGGGAUUACAGGCAUGUGCCACCACAUCCAACUAACUCUGUGAAUAUUCUAUAAGCCAUUGAAUUAUAUGCUUUAAAGGAGUGUAUUUUGUGGUAUGUGAAUUAUAUAUUAAUAAAAAUGUUUUAAAAUUAUUGUGCAUAGUAUUGAAUGUAUCCAGAAAGUUCUUAAAUUUUUGAGGACUUUAUAGAUUCAAAAAGAUAAUUAAAUUGUAGGUCAUCUUGGUGUUAUUUUAACCUCAGGAAAUUUUAGCCAGUGUAAUGAUUAAGAACCUAGAUACUGGAGAAGAAAUACCUUUAAGUCUUGCUGAAGAGAAGCUGCCAACAGGUAUUAAUCCUCUCACUCUACACAUCAUGAGAAGGACAAAAGAAUAUGUAAGGUAUGACCUAAUGUUGUUAUUUAUCAUUUAUAAUAUUCAGAGUAGUGAAGAAUUCUUGAACCAUGACAGGCCUUAAUUUGGUUUCAUUCAGUGUUCUUUAUUUAAAUAUAUUAUUAUAUAUAUUCCUUAACUUUGUUCUUUUUUUAUGACUAUAUAGUUACUUGGAGAAAAUAGUGUAAAUCUUAAAUUGCAUAGUUUUUAGUUUCUCUUAAGAUAACUUAUACUAGAGACAAUACAAAAACAUUGAGGCUUAAAGGCUAUAUGGGAUAAAUACUUGGUCUUCUGAAACCUUGCUUUAAGGAUGAUAAAUUUUAUAAUAUUUUAUUGUUUUGGUAGGGCUGGGAAAUAUCUUUAGAGUGAGGCGAUUGACUUUACUAUAUAAUAUAUGUAGAUCUUAGGAACAAUUUCUAGAAAAGCAAGAACUUUUUAUUAAAUAUAAUAUAUGAUGUACCUGUAGAGUUGGAAGGAAUAUAUCCACAAGUUAUUUUUAACACUUCUGUGCAGUGCCCAGUUAAAAAAAACUUAUUUAUAAUAAGUUUCUUAGAAGUUACUAAAUGGCAUUCAGUUUUUAUUCUGAUAGCUGAUUAUAUAGUAAGUAUAAAGAGAUUUUUGAGAAAUGAAAGAGAAGUGGUUUCUUUUACAAUGACUUCUCCUUCUUGUAGUAAUGAUGCAGCACAGUCAGAUGAUGAAGAAAAGUUACAAUCUCAGCCAACAGAUACUGAUGGUGGAAGGUUAAAACAGAAAACGUGAGUUAAAAGUAUAACCCUUUUCUUUAUUUCAAGCAUUUAUUAGAAAAAAAAUAUGAGAACUGCUAUAUUCUUUUAAAUCUACAUUUUAUCCAGCUUAGUAUGUCCACCUACCACCACUACUCCCUGCUCCCAGCUAAUUGAUUAUGAUGAGUUCCUUAAGGUUGUAGUGGUCAGUUUUAAAGUACCUGACGUAGAUAAAAUGACCAAUAAGUUUUGUAUCAUCCCUGUAUUAUUUUUCUGGUGGUAAGUACCAGAAGUAUUAGAAGAAAAACAUGAUUGUCCUUGAAUUUGUCUUUCCCCAUUCUCUUAAUCUCUUUAAAUCCUAUUAAUCUUUCUAAAUCCAACUUUGUGAGAUUUUUCCUUGCUGCUCCAGUUCAUAGUAAAUAUCUUUUUUCUCAAUUUCAGUAAUACCUAGAAUUCAUAUAACUUACUUUUCCCUUUUAUCAUAUAUUAUCUUAAACUCUUUUCUGAUUUAAAAAGCAAAACAAGUACAUGUUAAACAACUAAGCCAUAUAUUGCAAAAAGAUUGUGUUCAUACCAUCGUGUUGAGAUGUCUCGCACAGUAGUGGGCAUAUGGAUUGUGCUUGACUACACAGGUCCUUUAAUUGGCAAUAAUUUGAUUUAAAGUCCAAAGUUAAUUCUCUACCUAAGUCUAAUUUUUUUCUAGUGUAUAACAAAGAAAACAUUAAGAAUUUUUUAAAAAGAUGUACUUAAAAGGUAGAUAUAUAGUGUCACCUCAGAUAUCUGAUACUUGGCUGUCUAGCAAUGGCAGCUAUCAGGAACCUAAGAAUUAGGAAUUUUCAGGAGACAGAUAAACAUCCAAGAAAAUAUUGUGUAGUCCAUGCACUAAAGCUUGUUUUUCUGAGAGAAAAGCUCCUCAGGUUUAUUCAAAGCAAUUAUACUAUGUUUCAUAAAUCAUUUUUUAAAAUCUGUUCAUUUAGUGUUCAAUGAGCUCACAGCAAAACAGAAGCAAUAAAACUGUGACAACAUGUAAGUUGACACAUAAGAAUAUCAGGUAAUCUGAUUGUAAGGCCAUGAUAAGAAAAUUUAUAAAAGAACUCAUACAUAGCACAACUGUCCUUAGAGCAGUACUUUUCAACAUUUCCUCAUGCCACGACACACAUAAAUUUAUUAAUAUUUGCACUAAAUACUGGUUAAAACUGAUGAGGCAGCUGAUGGCCAGAAGAGAUUGGCCCAGAGUUCUGGCUUCCCUUGACCAUGUUCAUUGGCUUUGAAGUCCAAAGGGAAACCAAUAGUAUGGCCAGACUGCAACCUGUUGGAAAGGCUCUAUGUGUAUUAAAGAACAGUAAAAAUGGUAACAGUGGGACUACACAUCAAGGAAGGAGCCAGGAGAGGUGGCACACACCUGUAAUCCCAGUGGCUUGGAGGCUGAAGCAGGAGGAUCAUGAGUUCAAAGACAGUCUCAACAACUUAGUGAGACCCUGAUUCAAAAUAAAAUAUUUUGGGGAUGUAACUCAGUGUUUAAGUGCCCCUGGGUUCAAUUCCAGGUACCAAGAAAAAGAGAGAAAGAGAGAGAAAGAAAACUUAAUUGAACAUUACAUGCCAUUUUAAGAAUGCAUGAAAUUUUAUGUUUUAGAAAUAUUCUUAUCUGAAAUGGUUAAAAUGUUUUCUUGUCUUUUAAAGUAGUAAACCUAUUGUCGUCCAGAGAAUAUAACUUUAGGGUUAGAGGUAGUGGAGACUUUAUAUUGGUUUUAGAAGUGGUUUGUCUUCUGUUUUGUCUGGUUAUCAAAAGUAAUAAUAGAAAUGCAUAAAAUAGAAAAUGAAAGUUUCUUAUAAUCUCACCCCCAGAAAUAAUCAAUGCAAUAGUUUAGUGUAUUCUCCACAGAAUUUUUUUUCUCACAAUGUUGCUAUUUAUAUUGUGCUUAAUAGUUAACUUGUUUUUUUUUAAAUCUAAUACAUUAUAAAUAUCUCUUUAUAUCGGUACCAGUAAUAAACAUAUGCAGUCUUUCUAUGAGCCAGGCCUAGGAGUUAAGUGCUGGGUAUACAUCAGUUAAGACAGUCUCCAUUCUCAUAAAAUUUCAAGUUAAAUGGAAGAGACAGAUGUAAACAUGAAAUUACACAGAUAAAUCCAACUAGGUAUGUACUAAUGGUUAGAAAACUGAGGCUGGGGGGAAUGCCAUGGGAGUAUGUAAUAGGAAAACUGGUCCUAAAGUCAAGGAAGGUCUUUUUGAGAGAGAAUUAUUUGAUCUGAGGCCUAAAAGGUGAAUAGGAAUUAUCCAGGAGAAGACUCUUCUAGGUUGAAACAACCACAAGUACAGAGGUUUUGAAGUGACUGGGAGCUUGGAACAUUUAAUGAACUGAGGUUUGGGCACUGGGCAAGGGGGUACAUGCCUGUAAUCACAGCAGCUCAGGAGGCUUAGGCAGGAGGAUCACAAGUCCAAAGCCAGCCUCAGCAACUUGCUGAGACCAUGUCUCAAAAUUUAAAAAAAUAAAAAUUAAAUGGUUUGGGGAUGUGGCUCAAUGAGUCAUUAAGCACCCCUGGGUUCAAUCCCUGGUACCAAAAAAAGAAGAAAGAACUAAGGUUUGCCUCAUUCAUUUAUUAUAUUCCAUACCAGCACUUAUAUUCAUUCCCCUGUUGAUUAAAAUGUAUUUCUGUAUCUUACUUAUUCUAAAAACCGUGACAGUAAACAUCUUUUUUUUAAACCAGUAACAUAUAGGCAUUUAUUAUCAUUAUUAAGUCUUAUGUACUAUACAUAAUUGUAUAUUCUGUACUUCAUUUCCCACAUUUUUAUUGGUGCAGUUAUAAUUGUAUAUAAUGGUUGAAUUUGUAGUUGCAUAAUUGUACAUGUACAUAAUAUAACAAUAUAGUUUGACCAAUAUCAUUCCCCAGUAUUCCCCUCCUCCCUACUGCCUCCCCUGCUCCCUUUCCUCUAUUCUACUCAUCUUCCUUUGUUUUUCAUAAGAUUGAACAUCGUGUGUGUGUGUGUGUGUGUAUGUGUAUUUGUGCAUGAGUUAUCAACUCUUUUUAUUUUUUUUAAAUUUAAUACAUUAUAGUGGUAUAUAAUAAUAGGGUUCAUUUUGACAUAUUCGUAAAUGCAUGUUACAUAGUUUUUUCUAUUUUAAUCUCUAGUACUACUCCUCCCACCCCCACUCCCUUAUCCCCUUCCUAUACUCUCUUGGACUUCCUUCUAUUUACUUUUUUUUGGUUCCAGGGAUUGAAUGCAAGGGCACUCAAACACUGAGCCACAUACCCAGUCCUAUUUAUUUAUUGAUUGAUUGACUGAUUUUGAGACAGGUUCUCACUAAGUUGCUUAGGGCCUCUCUAAACUGCUGAGGCUAACUUUGAAUUUGUGAUCCUCCUCCUGACCUCCUGGGAUUACAGGUGUGCACCACCACAACUGGCUUACUCAUUUAUUUUUAAUUGAUACAUUAUAGUUAUAUAUAAACUUGGGAUGCAUUGUGGUAUAUGCAUAUGAAUAUAGCAUAAGUUGGUCAAUUUCAUUUCCCAGUUCUUCCCCUUUCCCUUCCCUCCUUCCUUCCCCUGGUUCUGCCCUUUCUAAUGUACUGAUCUCCCUUCUGUUUGUUGUUGUUGUUUGCUUGUUUGUUUGUUUGGGGUACCAGGGAUUGAACUCAGGGUCACUCGACCACUGAGCCACAUCCCCAGCCCUAUUUUGUAUUUUAUUUAGAGACAGAGUCUCACUGAGUUGCUUAGCACCUCACCAUUGCUAAGACUGGCUCUGAACUUCCAAUCCCCCUGUUUUAGCCUCCUGAGCCUCUGGGAUUACAGGCGUGCACCACCAUGCUCAACUUUUUGUUCAUUUUGUUUUUUUGUUUUGUUUGUUUGUGGUGCUGGCUAUUAAAACCCAGGGCCUUGUGCAUGAAAGGCAAGCACUCUACCAACUGAGAUAUAUCCCCAGCCCUUCCUUCUGAUUUUGUAAGGCACCUUUUUUCCCCUUUUUUCUCUUUAGUUUCCUCAAAAAUUUAGCUAUUUUUAAAAAUAGUAUCAUUAAUAUCAUACAUUUCCAUGGAUUAGUAAAAAUUACCCUUGAUUUGUAAAUUAUUUUGCUUUAAAUAUUAUGUAGUGUGAUUUGCUUCUUAAUACAUGAAAUUUGAAACUUAGACUAUGGAAAAAGAAAUAGUUAUAUCCUCUUUGAAGAAGCUUAAAAUAAAUACUUGUGUUAACAUUGUGUUUUAGAGUACCUACCAGGAAAGUUUAGUCUAAUUUUAUAUGCACAUACCUAGACUGAAAGAGAAUGAGCAAAGGACCACCUUAGGCUACUAAAGCAUUCUAUUUUAUAAGUAAAUACCUCUUUACCCUUUCUUUUUAUUGGUAAAAUAUGUUUAAAAGGACUACUUUCUAAGCAGUCUUCUCAAAGUGAUUCUCUCUACAUCUUCAUGGCUUCACCCCAGACUCCAGAUCACAUUAUCUGUGUGUGGGGCAUGAGUACCUGGAUUUUAAAUAUUCCCUUCCCCACCCAACACCUGCUAAUCAAUUAUUCACCAUAGAAAGCUGAUACCCUUGAAUAUAUGAUACUAUAAAUUAGGCAAAACUGCCUAUAUUUCCUUGGUAGUAUAUUGACUAGAAUAUGUUUAUUCCAAGGAACAUGAAAACUCAAACACCUACUAUUUAUGUGAAAAAUUCAUUUCAAAGUAAUGUAUCAGUCACAGUUAAUGUGUUUAUCUGUGAAUUGUUAACCUUUAACAAUUAGUUGAGUUAAUAAAUAUAUUUUAUAUUUUUGUUAAGGACUCAACUAAAGAAGUUCCUUGGAAAAUCAGUAAAGAGAGCAAAGCAUCUUGCUGAGGAAUAUGGUGAACGUGCUAUAAAUAAAGUUAAAAGUGUAAGAGAUGAAGGUAAAUAAUACAAGAUAUUUCAAUUGAGUGUUCAUUAAAUUGGUAAUCAUCUCAUCUUAGCCUAUAGUUUAUAAGGAACACUAUUUUAUUGAAUGUAUUAAACCUUUAUUGCUAAUAUCUUAGUUGUGUUUCAGUAAAUUAUGAGUUACUAUAUCACUUAAUUUUUUAUAAGUGCAAAGGUAAAUGCAUUUAUAUAAUUAUUAUGUCUACAUUUGGUGAUUAUGACAACCUGGAAAGGUUGAUUAUUCAGUAAUCAGUUGUAACUUAAUUUUGUAAGGUUAUUUAGUUUUUAUAAAUAUUUUCAAAAUUUAUUACAUUUUCUAAAUUUGCACAGAUCUUAACUUCUGUGCCUUUGCCAUUAUUACUUCAUUUUUAAUUUAAUAAACACUUAUAUUGUAAUUAUUCUGUGCCAGUUUCUAAGCACUUUCAUUUGUGUUCAUCCAUUUAAUACCAUAAAAAACCCUAUGAGAUAAAUACCAUCAUUAUUCCCAUUUCAUAGUUGAAAGAAGUGAGAGGCAUAGAAAGUUCACAUAGACAAUAAAACAGAAUUGGAUUUGAACCCAGAUAACCUGGAACUAAGAUUUCAUGUUCUUCACCAAUGUUAUGUAGGAAUAGCUAAAUUUUUUUCUCUAUUUAAUGAAUUUUCUUGAUAAGCAGUAGAUAUGAAAGUAGCUAUAUGUAUAUUAGCUAGUAAUGGCUUCUGUUGCUUUUCUCUUCAGUGUUUCAUACUGAUCAAGAUGAUCCUUCAUCAAGUGAUGAUGAAGGGAUGCCAUAUACAAGACCAGUUAAAUUCAAAGCGGCACAUGGUUUCAAAGGACCUUAUGAUUUUGAUCAGAUCAAAGUGGUACAAGAUCUUAGUGGAGAACAUAUGGUAACCAACCUUUUCAUUUUUCAGGAUUGAUACUGUUUUUGUUAAGAGAAAUACUUUGGCUUUAUAAAAUUGAUCUCUAGUUAUUAAUAUGCAUGCACACACAUAUGUACUUUUGCUAGCCUGACUCAAGAAAAGUACAUUUAUAUUAGUGUAAUUUAAUGAAUAAGUGAUACAGAGUCUAUCUCUUAAUUACAGGUUGAGAGGUAUUGAAUAUGUAAACUCUAAGCUUCUAUCCUUAAUAAAACUAUGCCAAGGUAUCAAACUUUAAAGCAGUUAAAUUAGAGUAUGAUCUGUCUCUAUGAAAAAUUUAAGAUAUUUCCCAAUAUAUUUUAAAUAAUUUUAAUAAAUAUUUCAGAAGCCCAAUAUAUAUUUUAAAAUGAGACACUCAGUUAAAACAAGGAAGAAAGUAGAAGUUUAUAUUCCAUCAGAAUUCAAGUAUAUCAACAAAGAUCAAAGUACACCAAUAGCAUUACAGUUAUCUUUGAAAAUCUAGGAACACAAAGAACACAGCGAUAGAGCUCAGAGAUGGAUAAGUGAUGCUGUGUUCUUGAUCAGGGAAUCUAUUUAGAAUUUAAAUCUAAAAGUUGGCUUAACUAGAAGGAAGCAACCAUAAACAACAGAUGGCAGCCAGAUUGGAACUUAAAUUUAGGUGCUUAUAAUCUGCACAUAAAAUGUUGGAGUUGAUUAAAGUACCUAACCUGAUGAAUUUUCUUGUACUAUUUUGACUUCCUUGUUAUUUGCCAUUUUAAAUAAAAUCCCAUUGUAGUAGACUCCAAAUGACAAGUGUUUAUUGCUCUUGAACUUCAUAGAAAUGAAUGUUAUUGCAGUAAAUGAGCUUUUGCUUCUAACUUGGGUAGUCUUUUUGAUACAUCUAGAUGGGCAUUAUAGAAUUGUUGUCAUAGUAUUUGCCUCUUCCAAUUUAAGGAUUCAUAUUCUUUAGCCCACCCCACCCCCAUAUGUUACAGAACCUUGUUUCUAGGGAAAAAAAUCAGGAUGAGACCACACUAUUCCAAUAUUUCUUCUUAAGUACCCAAUGCCAUGAGAUUCGUGGCCAAGUGAGCUUUAUUUUUCCUCAGCCCUGGUUAGGGAGGCUGUUUGGAAGAGAGAGCUCUCUCUUCCCACUUCAUGUUCAGCUAGGCGACAAAGAUCCCAAACUAGGGCUUGUACUUUCUAAGAUAUCUGGCUACCUCAGAAUGCUUAUUUUCAUUAAUAUGUGGAUAGAGUUUGGGGUACUGAACUUGUAAAUUAUGGGAAACUACAACUAUCUUAUCCCACCUUUUCUCUGAAGGUCUCCCUUUGUGGUAUUAUAGCACCAUUGGACUUUUGACUGUGAAGGUCAUUAUUAAUGUGAGCAUUAUCUUUCAUAAAAAAAUAUUUUUACUUGGGGCUGGGGUUGUGGCUCAGCGGUAGAGUGCUCACCUAGCACAUGUGAGACACUGGGUUCGAUCCUCAGCAUCACAUAAAAAGUAAAUUAAUUAAAUAAAGGUAUUGUGUCCAAUUUUAGUUGUAGAUGAACACAAUACCUUUUUAUUUGUUUGUUUGUUUAUGUGGUGUUGAGGAUUGCACCCAAUGCUUCACACGUGCUAGGCAAGCUCUCUACCACAGCCCCAGCCCAUGAACAUUAUCUAAGAUAUGUAUAAUUUGGCAUCAUUUUAAACUUUGACUUAAAGUUGCAUCUCUAAACUUUCAAAAUAACAACCUGAAACUUCUUUUGUUUUCACAGGGAGCUGUUUGGACCAUGAAAUUUUCUCACUGUGGCCGGUUACUUGCCUCAGCUGGACAAGACAAUGUAGUGAGAAUAUGGGCUUUAAAAAAUGCUUUUGAUUAUUUCAACAAUAUGCGAAUGAAAUACAAUACUGAAGGUAUCUUUCAUUUAUUUAAAAAUCUACAGAAAUCUGGAAUUUUUACAUUUUAGGUACAGUACAGAUUAAGCAUAUUGAGCAUCCCUAAUCCCAAACUCCAAAAUCCAGAAUGCUCUCUACACUUGUUGAACACUGGCAUCAUGCUCAACAAAUUUUUAAUUUUAGAGCAUUUCAGGUUUCAGAUUUUUAGAUUGGGGAUGCUAAACUGAUAAAGUAUAUGCAGAUAUUCCACAAUCUGAAGAACUCCAGAAUCUGAUAAGGGAUAUGCAGUCUACAAUGCCCUCCUUAUCUGUCUGUCAUUUGGUUACUUAAAAAUAAGACAGAAGUCAGCAGCUAAAAGCCUCUAAAGCCAAAUGAAAAGAACUAUCACAAAGCUUUUGAUUUAUUCCUUGUCAAGCAUCAACCAUUGAGAACAAAGCUAUUUGAUUCCCCAUGGCAACCUUCAAAUUUAUCCUAGGUUUAAGGAAGAAAAGAUCUCAUUAAACUGUAAAAAGAAUGAAAGUAGUAUGUACACCUUAAAGAAUGUAAAGAAUGAUUAAGGAAAUAGCCAUGAAAAUUAGGCCCAAAUUGUCAAUAUAUCAAGGAGUAUAUGAAAAAAUGUGAAGUGGAAAAGAAAACCCUCAGAAUAUUAGGUAUACAAACACCUAUGUUUAUAUAUAGAUAGAUAGCUACUCACCUAUGUAAAAAUGUUUGUCUUGCGGUAAGUUAUCAGGAAAUGUAAAAUUGAUGUAAAUAGGGGCUUUUCAUUUAUAGGAUUCUUUUCUUAUUAUUUAGCAGCAUAAUACAUUUUCUCCAUAAACCUCUCCCUCUCAGUCACCUAAGGCUGAAAACAAGAAGUUAAGAAUAGGAAAAGGAGAAUAGAGGUAGCCAUUGAU
RNAcentral lists this long non-coding RNA (18525 nucleotides) under Marmota monax (woodchuck). The record is from RNAcentral. Lineage: Eukaryota; Metazoa; Chordata; Mammalia; Rodentia; Sciuridae.